UUAGAAAACGAAAAUUAGUAUUAAGUAAAUUAUUAUACUUUUUUUUGUUUAAGAAUUGUAAAAAGGAAAAAAAAAUUAGAAAAAGGAAAUUAUUGUCAUAUCGAACUCGAUCGGUUUCUAAUCUCGAUUUUGAUCUUAGAUUAUCACUCUAGCUUGAUCUCGAUCUAUUUCAUAGUUAAUGGAUGGUUGUGUUCGUCUUUGUAUGUAGUGAACCCGGAUCGUUUUCCUUCAAUUGGAGGAAGAAGAUCGCACCACCAAGGAGCUGUUGGUGGUUAUUCUCCUCCUCUUCGCCGGAAUGUCACCGUGCUUCCAGAUAAAGGAAACCUGAAAGAUGCUUCUUGGGAAACUUGAGAUUCUUCGUAUGGAACACGUUUUACUCUGCUUGCAUAUUUUUUUGCUGAACGUUAUAAUGUUGCUUAACGUAUUUUGUGUUGUUAUGCAAUUAUCCCUAAAUACCUACUUUAUACUUCGUGUAAAAUGAUAUUUUAACAGCGGUUGAAAUUUUUAAUUGUUUUUGUUC
Brassica napus (rape) is the source of this 520-nucleotide long non-coding RNA. RefSeq lists it as uncharacterized. The record is from RefSeq and is a predicted model, not a curated record. The transcript is spliced from 2 exons. NCBI's taxonomy places the organism in Eukaryota, Viridiplantae, Streptophyta, Magnoliopsida, Brassicales, Brassicaceae.